GACGAACGCUGGCGGCGUGCUUAACACAUGCAAGUCGAACGGUAAGGCCCGGCUUUUGCGGGGUGCUCAAGAGGCGAACAGGGGUGUAACACACGUGUAACAUGCGCUUGACUUUGUGAUAUCUUCAUGAGACUCGGGCUCAUACCGGAUAGGAGCUCUUGCUGCGUGUGGGGGGUUGGAGAGUUUCGGUGGUUGGGGAUGGACUCGCGGCCUAUCAGCUUGUUGGUGGGGUAGUGGCUUACCAAGGCUUUGACGGGUAGCCGGCCUGAGAGGGUGACCGGCCACAUUGGGACUGAGAUACGGCCCAGACUCCUACGGGAGGCAGCAGUGGGGAUUAUUGCACAAUGGGCGGAAGCCUGAUGCAGCAACGCCGCGUGCGGGAUGACGGCCUUCGGGUUGUAAACCGCUUUCGCCUCUGACGAAGCGUGAGUGACGGUAAUUGCUAAAGAAGCACCGGCUAACUACGUG
RNAcentral lists this ribosomal RNA (468 nucleotides) under uncultured bacterium. Its description in RNAcentral is "partial 16S ribosomal RNA". It matches the Rfam family "Bacterial small subunit ribosomal RNA", at positions 28 to 507 of the family's 1533-position model. The record is from RNAcentral.